UGGGGAAUAUUGGACAAUGGGCGAAAGCCUGAUCCAGCAAUGCCGCGUGAGUGAUGAAGGCCUUAGGGUUGUAAAGCUCUUUUACCAGGGAUGAUAAUGACAGUACCUGGAGAAUAAGCUCCGGCUAACUCCGUGCCAGCAGCCGCGGUAAUACGGAGGGAGCUAGCGUUGUUCGGAAUUACUGGGCGUAAAGCGUACGUAGGCGGUGACUCAAGUCAGAGGUGAAAGCCUGGAGCUCAACUCCAGAACUGCCUUUGAAACUAGGUCGCUAGAAUCACGGAGAGGUGAGUGGAAUUCCGAGUGUAGAGGUGAAAUUCGUAGAUAUUCGGAAGAACA
Molecule: ribosomal RNA, 336 nt
Filed under: uncultured bacterium
Lineage: Bacteria
Description: bacterial SSU rRNA
Rfam family: Bacterial small subunit ribosomal RNA
Source: RNAcentral